GUCUGUUUGAAGAUAUAAAAAGUCUGACCUGCCCGCUGAUAAAUAAUUUUAAGGGCCGCAGUAUUUUGACUGUGCAAAGGUAGCAUAAUCGUUAGUUUUUUAAUUGAAAUCUUGUAUGAAUGGUUUGACAAAAAAAAAUCUGUCUUUAUAAUUAUUUAUUGAAUUUAACUUUUAAGUGAAAAGGCUUAAAUGAUUUAAAAAGACGAUAAGACCCUAUAAAGCUUAAUAUUUAAUUUUUUAUUUUAAUAAAAUUUUUUAUAAUAUAAAUAUUUAGUAAUUAAUUUUAUUUUAUUGGGGUGAUAAUGGUAAAAUGAUUAUUAACUGUUAAUUAUGUUUAAAACAAAUAUAAAUGAAUAAAAUAAAUAUAUUAAUAUAAAUGAUCCUAUAUAAAGAUUAAAAGUUUAAGUUACUUUAGGGAUAACAGCGUUAUUUUUUUUGAGAGUUCUUAUCGAAAAAAAAGUUUGCGACCUCGAUGUUGAAUUAAAAUAUCUAUAUAAUUGUAGCAGUUAUAUAAGAAGGUCUGUUCGACCUUUAAAUUUUUACAUGAUUUGAGUUCAAACCGGUGUAAG
This 569-nucleotide ribosomal RNA is filed under the name Leptarma liho. RNAcentral's name for it is "Parasesarma liho partial 16S ribosomal RNA". The stretch from base 417 to 569 matches the Rfam family "Bacterial large subunit ribosomal RNA", at positions 2473 to 2625 of the family's 2925-position model. The record is from RNAcentral. Lineage: Eukaryota; Metazoa; Arthropoda; Malacostraca; Decapoda; Sesarmidae.